Molecule: ribosomal RNA, 440 nt
Filed under: uncultured bacterium
Lineage: Bacteria
Description: partial 16S ribosomal RNA
Rfam family: Bacterial small subunit ribosomal RNA
Source: RNAcentral
CCUACGGGAGGCAGCAGUGGGGGAUAUUGCACAAUGGGGGAAACCCUGAUGCAGCGACGCCGCGUGGGUGAAGAAGCGCCUCGGCGCGUAAAGCCCUGUCAGCAGGGAAGAAAAUGACGGUACCUGAAGAAGAAGCCCCGGCUAACUACGUGCCAGCAGCCGCGGUAAUACGUAGGGGGCAAGCGUUAUCCGGAUUUACUGGGUGUAAAGGGGGCGCAGACGGCGAUGCAAGCCAGGAGUGAAAGCCCGGGGCCCAACCCCGGGACUGCUUUUGGAACUGCGUGGCUAGAGUGCAGGAGGGGCAGGCGGAAGUCCUGGUGUAGCGGUGAAAUGCGUAGAUAUCAGGAGGAACACCGGUGGCGAAGGCGGCCUGCUGGACUGCAACUGACGUUGAGGCCCGAAAGCGUGGGGAGCAAACAGGAUUAGAUACCCCAGUAGUC